CUUGCCCCUAGAGGCGUUGCAGACAUGACCGCGGUUUCAUGUUUGUGUCAUUAGGUGGCAUAGAGGAAUCACGGCUGCGUCUACGCUCGGUGCCCGUCAUGUGGGGACUAGGAAUGAUUUCCAGCCGGACAAU
Small nucleolar RNA from Hyla sarda, 133 nucleotides. RefSeq annotates it as small nucleolar RNA SNORA17. The record is from RefSeq and is a predicted model, not a curated record. The transcript has a single exon. NCBI's taxonomy places the organism in Eukaryota, Metazoa, Chordata, Amphibia, Anura, Hylidae.